This is a long non-coding RNA of Paramisgurnus dabryanus, 408 nucleotides long. RefSeq lists it as uncharacterized. Lineage: Eukaryota; Metazoa; Chordata; Actinopteri; Cypriniformes; Cobitidae. The record is from RefSeq and is a predicted model, not a curated record.
CUUCUGUCACACACACCGUCCUUCAAAAGUUUGUCCCGAAUCUCCCAGCUGAACAUUCCGGGAUUUUCGCGUUUAUAUUCUUCGAUUCGCUUUUCCACGUCAGGUGUUGCCACUUGCUUUUGAUGUUAAUGUGUUUCUUGAUACCGGCAGAGGAUUUUGGACACACAACCGUGGGAAACGCGAAGUUGUCGGGAGAUCACACAGGGACGGAUGCCGUGUUCUUUCAUGUGUUGGUGUGUGCUGUGAAGUCUGAUGGGGGACAUGUGCUAGCGUGAAUAGGUCAUGACCGGGAAGGUCAUCAUUAUGCUGCGUGGGGUGUUCCUGUCUGUCCUAAGCUUUCUCACUUAACCCUCAAUACACAGGGGCUGUUAACUCCUCAGCACAUACAGAACAAGGUCAUGUUCAGAU